Molecule: ribosomal RNA, 537 nt
Filed under: Salmonella enterica subsp. enterica serovar Cerro
Lineage: Bacteria; Pseudomonadati; Pseudomonadota; Gammaproteobacteria; Enterobacterales; Enterobacteriaceae
Description: bacterial SSU rRNA
Rfam family: Bacterial small subunit ribosomal RNA
Source: RNAcentral
GGAUGUGAAAUCCCCGGGCUCAACCUGGGAACUGCAUUCGAAACUGGCAGGCUUGAGUCUUGUAGAGGGGGGUAGAAUUCCAGGUGUAGCGGUGAAAUGCGUAGAGAUCUGGAGGAAUACCGGUGGCGAAGGCGGCCCCCUGGACAAAGACUGACGCUCAGGUGCGAAAGCGUGGGGAGCAAACAGGAUUAGAUACCCUGGUAGUCCACGCCGUAAACGAUGUCUACUUGGAGGUUGUGCCCUUGAGGCGUGGCUUCCGGAGCUAACGCGUUAAGUAGACCGCCUGGGGAGUACGGCCGCAAGGUUAAAACUCAAAUGAAUUGACGGGGGCCCGCACAAGCGGUGGAGCAUGUGGUUUAAUUCGAUGCAACGCGAAGAACCUUACCUGGUCUUGACAUCCACGGAAGUUUUCAGAGAUGAGAAUGUGCCUUCGGGAACCGUGAGACAGGUGCUGCAUGGCUGUCGUCAGCUCGUGUUGUGAAAUGUUGGGUUAAGUCCCGCAACGAGCGCAACCCUUAUCCUUUGUUGCCAGCGGUU